RNAcentral lists this ribosomal RNA (25 nucleotides) under Ficus altissima (council-tree). RNAcentral's name for it is "partial 18S ribosomal RNA". Lineage: Eukaryota; Viridiplantae; Streptophyta; Magnoliopsida; Rosales; Moraceae. The record is from RNAcentral.
CCUGCCAGCAGAAGGACCGGCGAAC